This 253-nucleotide ribosomal RNA is filed under the name uncultured bacterium. RNAcentral's name for it is "partial 16S ribosomal RNA". It matches the Rfam family "Bacterial small subunit ribosomal RNA", at positions 524 to 776 of the family's 1533-position model. The record is from RNAcentral.
UACAGAGGUCUCGAGCGUUAGGCGGAAUCACUGGGCUUAAAGCGUGUGUAGGCGGAUUGCUAAGUACCUUGUGAAAUCCCACGGCUUAACCGUGGAACUGCUUGGUAUACUGGCUGUCUUGAGCCACUUAGGGGCAACCGGAACAAACGGUGGAGCGGUGAAAUGCGUAGAUAUCGUUUGGAACGCCAACGGUGAAAACAGGUUGCUGGGGGUGUGCUGACGCUGAGACACGAAAGCCAGGGGAGCGAACGGG